GCUCAGAGGUUAGAGUGUUGGCCCUCAGACCCAAGGGUCCAGGGUUCGAUUCCCUG
This 56-nucleotide transfer RNA is filed under the name Myotis brandtii (Brandt's bat). It matches the Rfam family "tRNA", at positions 10 to 63 of the family's 71-position model. From Rfam's summary of the family: Transfer RNA (tRNA) molecules are approximately 80 nucleotides in length. Their secondary structure includes four short double-helical elements and three loops (D, anti-codon, and T loops). Further hydrogen bonds mediate the characteristic L-shaped molecular structure. tRNAs have two regions of fundamental functional importance: the anti-codon, which is responsible for specific mRNA codon recognition, and the 3' end, to which the tRNAs corresponding amino acid is attached (by aminoacyl-tRNA synthetases). tRNAs cope with the degeneracy of the genetic code in two manners: having more than one tRNA (with a specific anti-codon) for a particular amino acid; and 'wobble' base-pairing, i.e. permitting non-standard base-pairing at the 3rd anti-codon position. Lineage: Eukaryota; Metazoa; Chordata; Mammalia; Chiroptera; Vespertilionidae. The record is from Rfam by way of RNAcentral.